AAUUUUUACACAUAUGCAAUACACAUUUUUAGAUGGCAAGUGACUUGUCUUCAAGUUUGAUUUGUACAAGACCCGUUAAAAACGAUAGAAUAGAAAAGCGUUGAAAUUCUGCAUGAGUGACACAGGAACAAGAUUCUUACGGGCUCUGAAAUUGAAGUUGGGGUAUUCAGAGUCGAGGGUAAUAACAGUGGUUAUGUGUUCUCCUCUUUCCCACUCUACAAUCAUCACCAGAGAAAUGCAGCCCAUGCAGCAGCAGCCUACGUUGUACGUACGUAGUAGGAAAUAGGAAUGGGUUGGGAGGUAAACCUCGAAUUUCUACGGAGGAGAGAAUCGAAGAAACUGUUGGAGAAAGGAACAAGAUCAUGCGCCACAAGGUUGACUCUCUCCAACGUUGUGUUUGCACAAAGUGAAAGUUGAAGCAGUGGGAGAAAGUCGUCCUCCUCGUCCUCGUCGUACGUACAUAUCCAGCAGCAAGUCGUGUUGGCUUGGUUAACUUGCUUGGUUAACACCAUUGUCACCGGAAGGGUUGUUGGGGAAAAGAAUUCUGUGCGACUUUACUUGCUUUCCAACUGGCUCGACGUGUGCAGAGCCAUAUAUUUUAUUUUCUCUGUAAAUUAGUAAAAGUUUUAUAAACCCGAAAUGUUAUACAUGUAUGCACAGAUGUAUAAUGCUCCCAAUCUUUGAUUUUCUGUAAAAUUAUUAUUAAAAUUAUUAUAACUAAUUGAAAAUGCUCAAAAAUAUUUAGACAAAUGACUCUAACUUGUGUUUCACUAAACUUAAUUCGAUGUCAAACCAACUCUAUCGAGAGAUUAUUACUGGAUAAAUUAUAUGUAUGCAUGCAUGCUCACAUGGUCAAAUAUAGGUAUUUGUACAUCUAUAUAUUUGUAUAUGCAGAUAGAUCUGUCUCCAACAUACUAAAUAAGUGCACUUCAAGUUUUAGGGUUUUUAUUUCCAGCUUCAUACAUUUUAUUUUAUUUUUUACUUAUGUACUGACCCAUGUUGAGAACUGUGCAGCAUGAGUCAACCAUUCGCCCACAUUGCAAGAGUAGGAAUAUCCAUAGCAGUGAAACUUGUCUGACUGCUUAAAAGUUUGUACUUUCGGUGGAUAUUAUGUAGAGAAAUUCGACACCUAUAAGAUUACCGAGAGUAGUUGGGUUGCUGAACGCCUUUCACCAAGAAAUGAACGACGUUCCCCGCCCGUCUUUUCAAACUUUCUUUCCGUUACUUUAUUUGAAUGUUAUUUAAUACUUGAGCGUCUUUAGUAAACAAAUGAAACUUUGUAACGGGUGUAGAUGUUUGCAGACUCUGCCUUCCUCCUUUUAUGGACUACAUAGCAUGAUUGGCACAAUAUUCUAAAUAUGGUACGUAAACUUGGAUUGUACCGGAAGGCGAAGUUAUUGAUUACUGCCGUUACUAAAAUAAUUAAUUUCUUAAUAAUGCCAUUUCUUGUUUUUAAUAUGAAUACAUACGCAACUUUAUACUUGUAAGUACAUCUGAAUUCCACAAAGUGAGGUAAUAUAAAGACAUGUAUUUGAUACAUUUGUAUAUUUUUGUAUAUUUCUAUAAUUUUUUAAACAAAUUAUACUUAACAUAUGUAUGACUUAUAUUUAUACAUAAUUAUCGUGUCAUGCAUUUAAGGGAAUUAAGAUUUAUUUGGCACGCAAUUAGGUACUAAAGAUCGCAAAAGCCAAUAAAGCCUGACAUAUUUGUGUUUUGAUUAAGCCAUCA
This is a long non-coding RNA of Folsomia candida, 1728 nucleotides long. RefSeq lists it as uncharacterized. The transcript is spliced from 2 exons. The record is from RefSeq and is a predicted model, not a curated record. NCBI's taxonomy places the organism in Eukaryota, Metazoa, Arthropoda, Collembola, Entomobryomorpha, Isotomidae.